CCUGCAAUCACAAUGUAUAGGAGGUCUUGCCUGCCCAGUGACAAGUUAAACGGCCGCGGUAUUUUGACCGUGCGAAGGUAGCGCAAUCACUUGUCUUUUAAAUGAAGACCUGUAUGAAUGGCGGAACGAGGGCUUAACUGUCUCCCCUUUCAAGUCAAUGAAAUUGAUCUACCCGUGCAGAAGCGGGUCUAUAGACACAAGACGAGAAGACCCUUUGGAGCUUAAGAUAUAAAAUCAACUACGUCAAGAGCAUAAAACUAAACUAAGUAGCACCUGAUUAAUAUCUUCGGUUGGGGCGACCACGGGAGAAAAUAAAGCUCCCAUGCGGACUGGGAUUAUAUCCUAAAACCAAGAAAGACAUUUCUAAGCCACAGAACAUCUGACCAUAAAGAUCCGGCCACUCGCCGAUCAACGGACCAAGUUACCCUAGGGAUAACAGCGCAAUCCCCUUUCAGAGUCCAUAUCGACAAGGGGGUUUACGACCUCGAUGUUGGAUCAGGACAUCCUAUUGGUGCAGCCGCUAUUAAGGGUUCGUUUGUUCAACGAUUAAAGUCCU
This 556-nucleotide ribosomal RNA is filed under the name Nemadoras humeralis. Its description in RNAcentral is "partial 16S ribosomal RNA". It matches the Rfam family "Bacterial large subunit ribosomal RNA", at positions 1822 to 2597 of the family's 2925-position model. Lineage: Eukaryota; Metazoa; Chordata; Actinopteri; Siluriformes; Doradidae. The record is from RNAcentral.